GUGGGGUUGCCCGAGCGGUCAAAGGGCCCGGUCUGCAAAACCGUUGUUCGCCGGUUCGAAUCCGGCACCCCACU
RNAcentral lists this transfer RNA (74 nucleotides) under Janthinobacterium sp. CG23_2. Its description in RNAcentral is "tRNA-Cys-GCA". It matches the Rfam family "tRNA". From Rfam's summary of the family: Transfer RNA (tRNA) molecules are approximately 80 nucleotides in length. Their secondary structure includes four short double-helical elements and three loops (D, anti-codon, and T loops). Further hydrogen bonds mediate the characteristic L-shaped molecular structure. tRNAs have two regions of fundamental functional importance: the anti-codon, which is responsible for specific mRNA codon recognition, and the 3' end, to which the tRNAs corresponding amino acid is attached (by aminoacyl-tRNA synthetases). tRNAs cope with the degeneracy of the genetic code in two manners: having more than one tRNA (with a specific anti-codon) for a particular amino acid; and 'wobble' base-pairing, i.e. permitting non-standard base-pairing at the 3rd anti-codon position. Lineage: Bacteria; Pseudomonadati; Pseudomonadota; Betaproteobacteria; Burkholderiales; Oxalobacteraceae. The record is from RNAcentral.